GACAGAGGGUGCAAACGUUGUUCGGAAUUACUGGGCGUAAAGCGUGUGUAGGCGGCCGCGCAAGUCGGAUGUGAAAGCCCCGGGCUCAACCCGGGAAGUGCACCCGAAACUGCGUGGCUUGAGUACCGGAGAGGUUGGUGGAAUUCUCGGUGUAGAGGUGAAAUGCGUAGAGAUCGGAAAGAACACCAACGGCGAAAGCACUCUGCUGGGCCGACACUGACACUGAGAGACGAAAGCUAGGGGAGCGAAUGGG
RNAcentral lists this ribosomal RNA (253 nucleotides) under uncultured bacterium. RNAcentral's name for it is "partial 16S ribosomal RNA". It matches the Rfam family "Bacterial small subunit ribosomal RNA", at positions 524 to 776 of the family's 1533-position model. The record is from RNAcentral.